GAAUAUUGGACAAUGGAGGCAACUCUGAUCCAGCCAUGCCGCGUGCAGGAAGACGGCCCUAUGGGUUGUAAACUGCUUUUAUACGGGAAGAACCACAUCUACGUGUAGAUGCUUGACGGUACCGUAUGAAUAAGGACCGGCUAACUCCGUGCCAGCCGCCGCGGUAAUACGGAGGGUCCAAGCGUUAUCCGGAAUCAUUGGGUUUAAAGGGUCCGUAGGCGGAAUAAUAAGUCAGUGGUGAAAGUCUGCAGCUCAACUGUAGAAUUGCCAUUGAUACUGUUGUUCUUGAAUUAUUAUGAAGUGGUUGGAAUGAGUAGUGUAGCGGUGAAAUGCAUAGAUAUUACUCAGAACACCUAUUGCGAAGGCAGAUCACUAAUAAUAUAUUGACGCUGAGGGACGAAAGCGUAGGUAGCGAACAG
RNAcentral lists this ribosomal RNA (419 nucleotides) under uncultured bacterium. RNAcentral describes it as "partial 16S ribosomal RNA". It matches the Rfam family "Bacterial small subunit ribosomal RNA", at positions 359 to 775 of the family's 1533-position model. The record is from RNAcentral.